CGCUGGCGGCGUGCCUAAUACAUGCAAGUCGAACGGUCUUUCUAUGGAAGCUUGCUUCCACUGAUUAGAUAGUGGCGGACGGGUGAGUAACACGUGGGUAACCUGCCCAUAAGAGGGGGGAUAACAUCCGGAAACGGGUGCUAAUACCGCAUAGUUUUCUUGAUCGCAUGAUUGAGAAAGGAAAGACGGCCUUUGCGCUGUCGCUUAUGGAUGGACCCGCGGCGUAUUAGUUAGUUGGUGAGGUAAUGGCUCACCAAGACGAUGAUACGUAGCCGACCUGAGAGGGUGAUCGGCCACAUUGGGACUGAGACACGGCCCAAACUCCUACGGGAGGCAGCAGUAGGGAACCUUCCGCAAUGGACGAAAGUCUGACGGAGCAACGCCGCGUGAGUGAAGAAGGUUUUUCCGGAUCGUAAAACUCUGUUGUCAGAGAAGAACAAGUCGGAGAGUAACUGCUCCGGCCUUGACGGUAUCUGACCAGAAAGCCACGGCUAACUACGUGCCAGCAGCAGC
Molecule: ribosomal RNA, 513 nt
Filed under: uncultured bacterium
Lineage: Bacteria
Description: bacterial SSU rRNA
Rfam family: Bacterial small subunit ribosomal RNA
Source: RNAcentral